GGUUUACGUAUGACCAUAUAUAUGGGACCAAGAUUGGUGGAACCAUAUUUGACCCCGACGGCCACCGUCACACGGCGGCUGAUCUGCUGCAAUAUGCUAACCCUACCGGACUUACUGUUCUUCUUCAUGCAACUGUGCAUAAGAUCACCUUCAGAAGAAGAGGUAUCAUUUUUUUAUUUCUUCAAUUAAAAAAAAAAUAUAGUUUUGUUUAAAUUUUUUUAUGUAAAUGAUGACAUCACUGGAUGAAUUAAACAGGAAAGGUAAGGCCAGUGGCUCAUGGGGUGAUAUUCAGAGACGUGUUAGGGAAGAAGCACAAAGCGUACCUGAAGAGGGACUCCAAGAAUGAGAUCAUAGUCUCAUCUGGAGCACUUGGAAGCCCACAACUGUUGAUGUUGAGUGGGGUGGGCCCAGCCCAGCAAAUUAAGGCCCAUAACAUUUCACUUGUACUUGACCUGCCCAUGGUGGGCCAGAG
Molecule: long non-coding RNA, 472 nt
Filed under: Vitis vinifera (wine grape)
Lineage: Eukaryota; Viridiplantae; Streptophyta; Magnoliopsida; Vitales; Vitaceae
Description: long non-coding RNA (VVIN_LNC000386)
Source: RNAcentral